Molecule: non-coding RNA, 274 nt
Organism: Pelobates cultripes (western spadefoot toad)
Lineage: Eukaryota; Metazoa; Chordata; Amphibia; Anura; Pelobatidae
Source: the annotation of a GenBank genome assembly
ACCUCCAGUAGCCAUCUGAGGAGUGGCCACUUGGAGGUGUCCCUAGGGGCAAUGUAAACACUGACUUUUCUCUGAAAAGGCAGUGUUUGCAUGGAAAUGCCUGCAUCUAAUGAUUAUACUCACCAGAGCAACUACAUUAAACUAGUUGUUCUAGUGACUAUAGUGUCCCUUUAAGUCAAAAUACCUGAAUUUAAAGUUUUUUUAGAUUACUUUUUUUAAUUGUUUUUCAACUAGGUACAGUUCGCUGUUUCUAAAUCACUGCCUUAGUGAUGCC